RNAcentral lists this transfer RNA (66 nucleotides) under Lepidotrigona flavibasis. Its description in RNAcentral is "tRNA-Trp". The record is from RNAcentral. Lineage: Eukaryota; Metazoa; Arthropoda; Insecta; Hymenoptera; Apidae.
AAAAUUUUAAGUUAUCUAAACUGUUAAUCUUCAAAAUUAAAAAAAUAUUUUGUUAUAUAAAUUUUA